CUACGGGUGCACCAGUGAGGAAUAUUGCACAAUGGGGGGAACCCUGAUGCAGCAACGCCGCGUGGAGGAUGACGCAUUUCGGUGUGUAAACUCCUUUUAUAUGUCAAGAAAAUGACGGUAGCAUAUGAAUAAGCACCGGCUAACUCCGUGCCAGCAGCCGCGGUAAUAGGGAGGGUGCAAGCGUUACUCGGAAUCACUGGGCGGAAAGGACGCGUAGGCGGGUUGGAAAGUCAGGUGUGAAAUCCUACAGCUUAACUGUAGAACUGCACUUGAAACUUCUAAUCUAGAGUAUGGGAGGGGGAGAUGGAAUUAGUGGCGUAGGGGUAAAAUCCGUAGAUAUCACUAGGAAUACCUAAAGCGAAGGCGAUCUCCUGGAACAUUACUGACGCUAAGGCGUGAAAGCGUGGGGAGCAAACAGGAUUAGAUACCCGUGUAGUC
This 438-nucleotide ribosomal RNA is filed under the name uncultured bacterium. RNAcentral's name for it is "partial 16S ribosomal RNA". It matches the Rfam family "Bacterial small subunit ribosomal RNA", at positions 339 to 795 of the family's 1533-position model. The record is from RNAcentral.